Molecule: long non-coding RNA, 582 nt
Filed under: Equus caballus (horse)
Lineage: Eukaryota; Metazoa; Chordata; Mammalia; Perissodactyla; Equidae
Description: lncRNA (ENSECAG00000051107.1)
Source: RNAcentral
AUAGCUGAACAUAACAAUGGAGCUCUAGUUCCAGGAGAUUGAGGAAGAGAAGGGGCAGUCUAAGGGAGAGGAAGAGGUGCCGUAUUGAACACAGGUGUCACAGUCAGAGGAAAGGGGGUUGCGGGCACUGACUCUGCAGAUGGGAAAGAUAUGGCUGGUGACUGGAUAUUUGGCUUAGAGACCAGCCCCAACCACUUUCCUUCUACCUUUAACUAAGAGCAAGGCUCAAAGCAUGGGAGAAAAUCUUGAGAGGGAUGAUUGUAACAUGAAAUGAGGAGCACACUGAAGCAUUUCGGGGUGAAGGGCCAUCAUAUCUGCAGCUUCUUCUCAAACAGUUGAGGGAAAAAGUAAUGUAUAUACAUAUUGAGAGAGAGAGAAAAGAAGCAUCGCGGUGAAAUGCCCUCUGCAGGCGGAAGCACUCCAAGCGUAGCUGUUCUCCACACAGCGUCUCAGGGAUCCUGGCUGCUUAGCGCUAACACUCCACCAUCUCCAGAGGCCCCAGGGGUCUGCUUAGCAGAAGGGAGUCUGUGGAGCGGUCACACUUGCUUUUCAGUGCACUGGCAAGGAUGUCACAAAUCUCCC